RNAcentral lists this transfer RNA (66 nucleotides) under unidentified. RNAcentral describes it as "Adiscus speciosus tRNA-Ser". The record is from RNAcentral.
GGAGUACAAACCAGAGGAUAAAGCUUCUAACUUAGCCCCAAGCGAUGAAAUUUCGUUAAUACUCCU